AGCCUGGAGUGCUUCGAAUAGACAUGACAAAAACAUGAUAUGAAUUACAUUGUUGAUACUGAACGUAAUCUGAGGUUUUUGCAGAAUUCUCCAAUAUCAACAUUUUGUCAAGCUGGGAAAAAACACAGAGCACAUCGUAAAAAAAAAGAUUUGCACAUUAUUUCACACACGUCCAAACACAAGCUCCAUUUUGUACUAGUCAGCCAAAAUACCACCUGGAUCACCUCGUAACUCAGCCAAAAAGAAUCCGACCGCUUUUAUUUAUUUAUUUUUUUGCAUUCAUAGCUCAGCCAAAACAAAAAAGGUGAAUUCAGGCGGUGCCAUGCCUCUGACACUGGACUGUGCAGUCAACUUAUUAUAUUAUCUGCUCUGUGUGUGUGCAUUAAGACUGUGUGAAUGCAUGUACAGUAUGUUUGUGUGUGAGUGUGUGGUGUGUGUUUCCACGCCUGCACCUCAAUGUGACCGUCCGGUGAAUGUGUAGCAUGCUUUCAUGCACGAGGCCCAGACUUUAAGUGUCGUACUUGCAUGUGGCGACUGAUCGCAACGAGACAUAAUACAACACUAAACCCAACCAAAUGCAGGCUCCGUUCUUAUACCUGGGAACCUUUGUGCUCUGAGAGGAUUUCACAGAUGUUGUACAACCGAAUAAGCUUCAAAAACACCUUUCUUCCUUGUAGUCAUCACUGCAGGUUGGGUUUACAAACCCAAAUCUUUUUCACGCUUCACAGCUCCAUAUUAUGUUGAUUAGGAGGAAUUCUAUACACUGAAAGAACAUUUUUCAUUUGCCAGGUUCAACUUAAAUCACAUACCUCCUUACCCAGGUAUAAGAGCUAUGGCUCCAUUUGUAAAGGAACUAAAACAUGUAGCAAAACUCACUGAUCUGUGGGAUGACUCCUCUCACAUCCUCCCUCAACAAUAUGCCUACUUCUUGUAUGUCCAUCUUCUCGACCACAACCUCUGCAAGCCAAAGUCCACAACGUUUGUUUACUUUUCACGUACAGAAGACUGUAGUUUCUUCAAAGUGAACACCUAAGAUACAACAGAGCUAACGACGUUUCUUGGGGAGGGUCUGCUAAUAAGCUACUUUAUCACAGGAGGACUGAUUUUCUUUUUUUCCUCACGGUCAACAGUGCAAUGAUCAUUUUUUAAAAAAUCCUAGUUGCUAGUAUUUCAUGAAAAAUUAAAAAGUAUUAGUCUAGACUCCAAUGGCUAUAUUUGUCCGGUGAAAAGUACAACCCUGACGGAGGAGUGAACUUAAAGAAAAAAGAAAAAAAAAGUAUUUUUCUACAGCUGUUUCCCAUCCACAGGCCCUCCUCGGGUAGGUGUGCACAGCAGAGCAGGGUGGAGUUAUCGGCCUUCACUUUCUGUGUUUUUGUUUAAUCACAAGGGGGCCUGGGAGAAACUGCUAAAAAUAUAUUUUUACCAACCGUAGUCUCUCUAGAAUGAUAAAGCUCAUUUAUAAACCAUAAUCCUUUCCUUUGAAGGAUUCUGAAAUGGUUGCUCUCGACAUCAAUAGGACUGUAGAAGGUUUAGGAGUUCAGAGUACUACAGAAAAACAUGCAGAAACUAUUUUAAUACAAUUCUAUGAAAAAUGGCGUAGUCAAAUCUUGCCACUAUUGCUUUUAAAGUCAGCUACUAUUCGUUUAUUUUGUCUCGGAGAGGGCGUGCCAUGUUCUUCCUGUGCUCUGUGUUCGCUGUGGCCAAGUGUCCAGUCAGUGUGUGUCGACUUGUUGAAAUUGGCUUCUCUCGCAACAACUAGAUAUUGUUUUUUCUCUUCUGUAUAUUUUGGCACAAAAGCUGUAUAACGUAGUUGUUUUUUAUGUUGAUUUUUUUAAAAAGGUUUUCUUCCAUAUGUGUGGUUCUUUUUGCUCCUGGGUGCACUGUUUUUUGCUGAGUUGUUGAUAUUGCUUCCAUGCAACAAUGAAAGUUAUUUAUUGCAAAU
Molecule: long non-coding RNA, 1942 nt
Organism: Amphiprion ocellaris (clown anemonefish)
Lineage: Eukaryota; Metazoa; Chordata; Actinopteri; Pomacentridae
Source: Ensembl